GGGCUGGCAUGUCCAUUAGGCAACCUUAGGCAGUUGCCUACAGUUGUAGCCCUGGGGGGCACUGAAUUGGGUGCCCCCCUCUGGGUAGGGGGGAGCAAGCAAGCAAGGAAGGGAGAGCCACUGACCUCCCCACUCGGAGAUAAAGAUCAGCAAUCAACUGACUGGCAGGACCUUUCCCCUGUGCCCUCCCACACAUUUUAAAUUGCCCAGGAGGGAGCGGGAAGCAAAGGCAAAGACUCUCUGUGUGUGUCCAGAUUGCAGUGCAUGCAGUCAGGCCAUACUAGGGCAUUGCAUACUAGGGCUCUACCCCACCUCUCAGGCACCCCUCAGGUGGAGAAGGCGAGAAUGUUAAAAGUUGGCAAGGAGGAAGAAGAGAGAAAGAGAGCAAUGCAAUGGACAGCGGUGGCCAUUAGGGACUGGCCUGUGACCCACUCUCAGAAGCUUCACGACUCACUUCUCGGUCCCAAUCUACAGGAUGGGAAACACUGCACUAGACCAAUGUUUAUGCAUGUGGAAGUGCUUGAGUCAGAGAAAUUAGCAGUGCAGUGGAGGAAAGCCUCCACAGCAGUGAACCGAAGGUGAGUCCUAAAAAUCAUUUUGCCAGGGAACAUUGUUGCUGAUCUGUUCUUCACUGUUCAUCAUCAAAAGAACUGCCAAGGGGGACUCUAGCAUGAAGCUGCUGAACUGGAAUUAAUCAAGAAGUCUGAUGCCAUCUACUAAGGCUGUUAAAGGCAUUAACUAGCUUAGAUAGAUGUACAUUGAGGAAAGGCACAUUAGCUGUCAUUGCUGCUCACUCUGCAGAUUACCGUCUGGCAAGCCUCCUUUCAGGGUCUGACAAGAGGACCAUAGAAACAACAAAAUGUAUUUCAUGGAUAUUAAAACAUUGUGAUCAAGUUUGGAAAUCAUCUUGACAGACUGGAUUCUGAGGACCCUGACUUAAUUGUUAUAGUUGCUGAAUAUGAUUUCUUUAAAAGUUUAUUUUAAAACUUA
Long non-coding RNA from Heteronotia binoei (common prickly gecko), 990 nucleotides. RefSeq lists it as uncharacterized. The transcript is spliced from 3 exons. The record is from RefSeq and is a predicted model, not a curated record. Lineage: Eukaryota; Metazoa; Chordata; Lepidosauria; Squamata; Gekkonidae.